Molecule: ribosomal RNA, 253 nt
Filed under: uncultured bacterium
Lineage: Bacteria
Description: partial 16S ribosomal RNA
Rfam family: Bacterial small subunit ribosomal RNA
Source: RNAcentral
UACGAAGGGGGCUAGCGUUGCUCGGAAUCACUGGGCGUAAAGCGCACGUAGGCGGCUUCUUAAGUCAGGGGUGAAAUCCUGGAGCUCAACUCCAGAACUGCCUUUGAUACUGAGGAGCUUGAGUCCGGGAGAGGUGAGUGGAACUGCGAGUGUAGAGGUGAAAUUCGUAGAUAUUCGCAAGAACACCAGUGGCGAAGGCGGCUCACUGGCACGGUACUGACGCUGAGGUGCGAAAGCGUGGGGAGCAAACAGG